This is a long non-coding RNA of Mytilus californianus (California mussel), 3832 nucleotides long. RefSeq lists it as uncharacterized. The transcript is spliced from 3 exons. NCBI's taxonomy places the organism in Eukaryota, Metazoa, Mollusca, Bivalvia, Mytilida, Mytilidae. The record is from RefSeq and is a predicted model, not a curated record.
UAAAAUUAUUUUAUACCAAUAUACAGAACCUGUCAUUAUUUUAUAAAUUAUAUUUAGUCACAUAUUAAGUUACUUUGUUAGAUGAGGGAAUCUACUGUGAGAAUACAGAUGGUUCAUCUGCCUCAAACUAAUCCUGGAAUAGUUUACUGUUAAAGCCGUAUUAUGAUAAACAUGCUACGAAGUGCUUCAACUAUUAGGAUAAGAAGCUUCUACUGAUUGCUCCUUAUCAAAAAGGUUCAAAUGAAUGUUGUGAAGCCAAAAGGGAGAGAAUAAAAACAGAACAUGACAGCUGGGUCAAUAUCCCUAAUGCGCCUCAAAUUGAGGAACUCAAAAGUAGUCCGUUAACAAAAAGUAUAUGUCUGAUGAUGUUAGACGUGUUUCAAUUUUUAACAAGUGUCUGAGUUUAACUAUUUGUGCUGAUUUAGAGAGCAGAAGAUCCUGAAGAAGGUGUCAAAACUAUGGAGUUAUUUAAUGUAUGCAAAGAACUGCAUUUUUAAAAGAACUUAUUUUAAGAAGAAAGGGAUCUUUUUACCUCGAGAUGCCGUAUCACAAAAGGCAUUUCGGGCAGUGCUAAAUUAUGGAAAAAUGAUUCUCACUUCGUACCCCGAAAAUUUAACCCCAUAUGUGCAAAUGACUCAGCUUCGAAACGAGCCAUCAUACAUAUCCAAGUUUACGAUAUGGGCAAAGGAAUGGAGGAAAGGUUACCUCUUACGCCUACCUGAAAUGAAUUGCUCAUCUUUACCCAGCUACGGUGAGUAUCUCAAAAUGUUAUUGCUACAAUUUAAUGCACUGCAACAAAUCAUAGUGUCUUAUCUCAGUGAAAAAGAUGAAUGGUCAAACCUUUUAAGGAACGAAGUGCUUCAACUAUUUAGCUAUAAAGCUUUUACUGAUUACUCCUCAUCAAAAAGGUUCAAAUGAAUGUUGUGAAGGCAAAAAGAGGAAAUAUCUCUCUUUCUUGUGAUAAUGCUUUCCAGAAUUUGAUUUUUUUCUCUCAAUUAUACAAUUUGUUUUUAAAUGAAAUGAUAUAACAACCUGGUCAAUGUUUUGUGUUAUUUCAGUUUCUGACGUAUCAUUCCAGUUUAACUUGAGACGGAAGAUUAUAGGUUUAAUAAUGUUCUGAAUUUUACUAAAACAUUUAAAAAAAAAAAUCGUGAAAAAGUAAAGGUAUUGAUUAAUUCAACAUCAGUUGUUGAUUUAAAAUUUGAUGGAAUUUUUUGAAAUUUUCGUAUGUAAUUGAAAAUUGUUCAGCAUUUUUAACUAAUAAGUGUUUCCAAAAGACCGCCAGAAAAUAACUAAACUAGAAUUUUCAGACAAUAUCAAUAGUGAAUUAUUUGAUCAAAUAUAGCUACUAUGUAAGUUAUGGAUAACAUUUGUUGAAAAACAUAAUGAAAAUAAAGUUAACUGGAUGUACAUGAAAAACAAAUAACAUGCCAGAGCAAAGUCGAAUUGUAGAUCAGUUUUUGGUUUGAAAUAUGAGGAAUGUCUAUGAAAUUGUCGAAAUAUUGAUCAAAUCUAAACGCAAAUUUGUUUAGAGUUAAUACUAACCGGUACUUCCAAUUAACCAUCGGAAAACAUGUUUACAAGAAGUUACAAGCCAUUUAUUGUUAAACUAUUUGAGCAUAAAUAACGGCAUUUUUAGUUGUGGAUUAACAUGUUUGUAAAGGCUGAAGACAAUUGUGUCACAUAUUGAAAAUUUCUUUGAUAUAUUGUGUUUUCUUUUGCCGUUUUCAUUAUUUAAUAUUCAACACAAAAGAAAAAGAAAUAAAAAAAGGAAAAUUACAAUUAUGGUAUUUAUCUCCAAACACAUUGUCUGUGUUAUUUAAAGAUACUUAAUUCGGAUUAAACUUUGGAUACAAUGAAACAUAAUAUUCUGUAUAAAAAAAAAACACCGUUCAUGCAUUUAAACUACAAAUCAUUGUUAAUCUUUCUAGUCUUGUUUUAAUAGACAAAAACAUUUUUUGAAUACGUCUAGAAAAUCUUCGACCUUCUCAAUUUGAACGGAAAUUAUUGACCGCUUUUGCCAAAAGUUUUGUUCGUACCGGAUGCCAGAAACUAUUAAAACUUGACAUUCAACUAAUUGAAGAAAUCAUAAUGUUUUGGGAUAUAUUGCUCUAUCGUACCAAUUAAAUUUGUUGAAAAUCUUGCUGAAAAUGAAAAAAAAGUUAACUGCAUGAACAACACUAAAGAUUCUUAAACAAUGUUUGACCUACGUUUUGAAAAAAAUAAUUUAAGUUUUUUUUUCUUGAAAUGAUUUUGAUAUAUAUUUAUAAAAAAACAGCCCAUCACAGCUGGGUCAAUAUCCCAAAUGCGCCUCAAAUUGAGAAACUCAAAAGUAGUCCGUUUACAAAACGUAUAUAUGCGGUGAUACAUGUAUAAGACAUGUUUCAAUAUUUAACAAGUGACUGAGCUUAACCAUUUGUGCUGAUUUAGAGAGCAGAGGACUUUGACAUAAAGGUGUAAAAACUAUGUAUGUAUUUAAUGUAUGCAAAAAACAAAAGUUUUAAAAGGUUAUUUUUACCUCAAUAAACCGCAUCACAAAAGGCAUUUCGAGCAGUGCUAAGUUAUGGAAAAAUGAAUCUCACUUCUUACCCCGAAAAUCAAAUACAGAUGUGCAAAUGUCUCAGCUUCGAAAGGAUAUGUGCAGAGGAAUGGAGGAAAAGGCUUCACCAUCGCAUACCUGAUAUGAAUUGCGCAUCUUUACCUAGCUACGGUGAGUAUCUCGAAAUGUACUGCCUAUGUUUUUUUAAGGAUAACAAAUUAAGAUAAAUUGUUAGUUUACUAACGUGCGUUUAAUUAAGAACGACAGGUAAUUUUUUCGUGUUUGCAUUUUAUUGAAAAAUUCCAAUAAACAUAAAAACAUAUAAGUAAUGAUUGAGUCAAAAUCAGUUGUUGAUUCAAAAUUUGAUGGAGGUCUUCGAAAUUGUUAACUAAGAAGUGUUUCCAAAAGACAUUUGAACUUAGUGUGAAAUCGCAUGGCGGGUGGUGCAUGUAUAGCAGUAGAAGACGCUUACCCAGUUGUCUAACCCGCUCUUGCACCUUUUGGAGUUCAUGCCGUUUCCUUAGUUUAUGUUUGUGUUUGUUCCCUUGAGAUGUCGCCUUAAAUAAACAUCUCACUCUGUUCCGGGUCUGAAACUUAACACAAACCCUUACAACGGUCCCCGUGUAGCGAAAAAACACGAUAGCUUUAAUCAAUCUGCUAAGCGUAAAAAACUCUCACACCUUAAAGGUAAACAUUGCCCGUAGCGAAAGCAACCAUCACCUUUUGAGAUCCAACAUGUAUUCCUCACUCUUUUUCUUCAAAAAAAAAUAUAAGCAUCUUCAAAAACAAAUUUCCAUAAUCAUAGAUCUAAAUACGCCAGCAAGGUUCUUAUCUCGGGGGACCACUUCAAUGCUUAAUUAACAGGGGUGCCACAUGGGGUUCUGUUAUCCCACCCUUUUCAUAUAUUGCGUAGGUAAAUAUGUAACCUUCUUCCAUAUUGGUUGGGUUUGAAAAGAUCACAUUUGCUCGCAGCUCAAAUCUGAGCCUCAGAUUCUUAUGUAAUGUGUACUUACGACGAAACUGUCGCCUGUGAAAAAAAUUACGGAGCUUUUCUUAUAACAAGUAAUGGAAACUUUAUAGACCUUAUUACAUAUUUCAAAUAUACACAAAAACAAUAUCAAAAAUGAGGCCCAUUGGACAGAUUUGAACAUCAAUCAAAACCGUCACUUUUUUUGAGGAACUGAAAGGAGUUUAAGGUACUAAAACGAAAACUGUACAACCUUGGAUCUUCAUCUGAGACAAUUUUUUUUUUUAUCUUUUUUUACAUAAUUGUUCUUGUCAGAAUACAUCUUC